Molecule: ribosomal RNA, 384 nt
Filed under: uncultured bacterium
Lineage: Bacteria
Description: bacterial SSU rRNA
Rfam family: Bacterial small subunit ribosomal RNA
Source: RNAcentral
CAGGCCUAACACAUGCAAGUCGAGCGGGCCCUUCGGGGUCAGCGGCGGACGGGUGAGUAACGCGUGGGAACGUGCCUUCUGGUCUGGAAUAACCCUGGGAAACUAGGGCUAAUACCGGAUACGCCCUUUUGGGGAAAGGUUUACUGCCGGAAGAUCGGCCCGCGUCUGAUUAGCUAGUUGGUGGGGUAACGGCCUACCAAGGCGACGAUCAGUAGCUGGUCUGAGAGGAUGAUCAGCCACACUGGGACUGAGACACGGCCCAGACUCCUACGGGAGGCAGCAGUGGGGAAUAUUGGACAAUGGGCGCAAGCCUGAUCCAGCCAUGCCGCGUGAGUGAUGAAGGCCUUAGGGUUGUAAAGCUCUUUUAUCCGGGACGAUAAUGAC